RNAcentral lists this unclassified non-coding RNA (221 nucleotides) under soil metagenome. Its description in RNAcentral is "partial contains 5.8S ribosomal RNA, internal transcribed spacer 2, and large subunit ribosomal RNA". The record is from RNAcentral.
AACGCACGAGACCUGCGGACCUGCGGAGGGAUCAUUAUUGAAUUUUAUCAAAGAAAAAUGUUGUGCUUUCUCUUGAAAGGGGGAAUAGUGCAAUGUUUUUCUUUUCCAAACAAACGAUCACAACUAACAAGAAAAUUGGUUUGGAAACAAACAAGUGUUUGCCUGAUAAUCAAGAUGAUUUGGAUUGGAGAAAGAAAUACAACUUUUAGCAAUGGAUCUCU